Molecule: ribosomal RNA, 468 nt
Filed under: uncultured bacterium
Lineage: Bacteria
Description: partial 16S ribosomal RNA
Rfam family: Bacterial small subunit ribosomal RNA
Source: RNAcentral
GACGAACGCUGGCGGCGUGCUUAACACAUGCAAGUCGAACGGAAAGGCCCUGCUCUUGUGGGGUGCUCGAGUGGCGAACGGGUGAGUAACACGUGAGUAACCUGCCCUUGACUUUGGGAUAACUUCAGGAAACUGGGGCUAAUACCGGAUAGGAGCUCCUGCUGCAUGGUGGGGGAUGGAAAGUUUCGGCGGUUGGGGAUGGACUCGCAGCUUAUCAGCUUGUUGGUGGGGUAGUGGCUUACCAAGGCUUUGACGGGUAGCCGGCCUGAGAGGGUGAACGGCCACAUUGGGACUGAGAUACGGCCCAGACGCCUACGGGCGGCAGCAGUGGGGAAUAUUGCACAAUGGGCGGAAGCCUGAUGCAGCAACGCCGCGUGCGGGAUGACGGCCUUCGGGUUGUAAACCGCUUUCGCCUGUGACGAAGCGUGAGUGACGGUAAUGGGUAAAGAAGCACCGGCUAACUACGUG